GCCGCGGUGCUGAAAUGGUAGACAGGCUAGCUUGAGGGGCUAGUGUCCGCAAGGGCGUGGAGGUUCGAGUCCUCUCCGCGGCACCA
Molecule: transfer RNA, 86 nt
Filed under: Patescibacteria group bacterium
Lineage: Bacteria
Also listed under: 2 other names
Description: tRNA-Leu
Rfam family: tRNA
About the family: Transfer RNA (tRNA) molecules are approximately 80 nucleotides in length. Their secondary structure includes four short double-helical elements and three loops (D, anti-codon, and T loops).
Source: RNAcentral